This is a long non-coding RNA of Rhinolophus ferrumequinum (greater horseshoe bat), 222 nucleotides long. RefSeq lists it as uncharacterized. NCBI's taxonomy places the organism in Eukaryota, Metazoa, Chordata, Mammalia, Chiroptera, Rhinolophidae. The transcript has 3 exons. The record is from RefSeq and is a predicted model, not a curated record.
AAAGCCCGCGGCUUCGAUUUAUUCCUAACCCUAACUGCCCCACGUCCCAGUCUGGCACCUCCGGCAGCUACCCGGAUACUUACCUGCCAGCCUGGCGCCCGGAGAGGGAAAGCUAAACUGCAAAAAUAUCCAGGUUUCCCAGCCAGCAGAAUCUGCCCCGCAGAGUUCGGGAAGCAGCGCCAGCGCCCCUUCUCGUCGUGCGAUAUCCCGUAAGACUUUGGG